This 1728-nucleotide ribosomal RNA is filed under the name human gut metagenome. RNAcentral's name for it is "bacterial LSU rRNA". It matches the Rfam family "Bacterial large subunit ribosomal RNA", at positions 1031 to 2841 of the family's 2925-position model. The record is from RNAcentral.
AUCUACAGCUAAGGUCCCAAAGCAGGUUUAAGUGGAAAAGGAUGUGGAGUUGCAUAAACAGCCAGGAUGUUGGCUUAGAAGCAGCCACUCAUUCAAAGAGUGCGUAAUAGCUCACUGGUCGAGUGGCUCUGCGCCGAAAAUUCAACGGGGCUAAAACCUGCACCGAAGCUUAGGCAUCCGCAAGGAUGGGUAGGGGAGCGUUGUGUAUGCGGUGAAGCGUUAGCGUAAGCGGGCGUGAAGCGUACACAAGUGAGAAUGCCGGAAUGAGUAGCGCGAAUGAUGUGAGAAUCAUCAUGGCCGAAAGCCUCAGGUUUUUGGAGGAAGGUUCGUCCGCUCCAAGUUAGCCGGGAGCUAAGGUGAGGCCGAAAGGCGUAGCCGAUGCACAUACGGUAGAGAUUCCGUAGCCGCCGAAAGAUUUAAGCAGGGGGACACUUUUGAAGUGUUGGAGCCGGGUGUUGGUUUACCCGGUGGUAACCGAGUGAAAUUUAGUAGCGAAGUCCAGCAUGGAGAGAGGCGAGAAAAGCCCUGUGUAUAUCUAAGGCGCCCGUACCGCAAACCGACACAGGUAGGUAGGAAGAAGAUUCUAAGGCCAACGGGAGAAGGGUUGUUAAGGAACUCGGCAAGUUGACCCCGUAACUUCGGGAGAAGGGGUGCUCACGAGAGUGAGCCGCAGAGAAUCGGCCCAAGCAACUGUUUAGCAAAAACACAGGUCUGUGCUAAAUCGAAAGAUGACGUAUACGGGCUGACGCCUGCCCGGUGCUGGAAGGUUAAGGGGACAUGUGCAAGCAUCGAACCGAAGCCCCAGUAAACGGCGGCCGUAACUAUAACGGUCCUAAGGUAGCGAAAUUCCUUGUCAGGUAAGUUCUGACCCGCACGAAUGGCGUAAUGAUUUGGGCACUGUCUCAACAGCCCGCCCGGCGAAAUUGUAGUACCGGUGAAGAUGCCGGUUUCCCGCGACAAGACGGAAAGACCCCAUGGAGCUUUACUGCAGCCUAAUAUUGGGUUUCGAUAUUACAUGUACAGGAUAUGUGGGAGACAUGGAAGCACGGGCGUCAGCCUGUGUGGAGUCAGCCUUGGGAUACCACACUUGUGAUAUUGGAAUUCUAACCUGCGGCCCUGAAUCGGGUCGGGGGACAUUGUUAGGCGGGCAGUUUGACUGGGGCGGUCGCCUCCGAAAAAGUAACGGAGGCGUUCAAAGGUUGGCUCAGCUUGGACGGAAACCAAGCCAAAGAGUGCAAACGCAUAAGCCAGCCUAACUGCGAGACUGACGGGUCGAGCAGUAACGAAAGUUGGAGUUAGUGAUCCGGCGGUAUGUGAGUGGAAAUGCCGUCGCUCAACGGAUAAAAGCUACCCUGGGGAUAACAGGCUGAUCUCCCCCAAGAGUUCACAUCGACGGGGAGGUUUGGCACCUCGAUGUCGGCUCAUCGCAUCCUGGAGCUGAAGUCGGUUCCAAGGGUUGGGCUGUUCGCCCAUUAAAGCGGUACGCGAGCUGGGUUCAGAACGUCGUGAGACAGUUCGGUCCCUAUCUGUCGUGGGCGCAGGAUAUUUGAUGGGAUCUGUCCCUAGUACGAGAGGACCGGGAUGGACGCACCUCUGGUGCACCAGUUGUCACGCCAGUGGCACAGCUGGGCAGCUAUGUGCGGAUCGGAUAAACGCUGAAAGCAUCUAAGCGUGAAGCCGGCCUGGAGAUAAGAUAUCCCACUGAGAUAAUCAGGUAAGACCCCUUGA